CGAGUACAGUUGUCUCAUUACUC
Molecule: non-coding RNA, 23 nt
Filed under: Arabidopsis thaliana (thale cress)
Lineage: Eukaryota; Viridiplantae; Streptophyta; Magnoliopsida; Brassicales; Brassicaceae
Source: RNAcentral